Molecule: long non-coding RNA, 209 nt
Organism: Amblyraja radiata (thorny skate)
Lineage: Eukaryota; Metazoa; Chordata; Chondrichthyes; Rajiformes; Rajidae
Exons: 3
Source: RefSeq, a predicted model, not a curated record
CAUUGGUGAUGCUGAGGUUGAAAGGGUCAGAAGCUUCAAGUUCCUCGGUGUGCACAUCACUGAGGACCUCUCUUGGACACUGCACAUGGACACAAUAACUAAGGAAGCCCGGCAGCGGCUCUUUUUCCUGAGAAGACUGAUGAUGUUUGGCAUGAACGCCAGCAUCCUCACAAACCUCUACAGUCGUACCAUCGAGAGUCUGCUGACGG